RNAcentral lists this small RNA (468 nucleotides) under Arabidopsis thaliana (thale cress). RNAcentral describes it as "ATSL161620". Lineage: Eukaryota; Viridiplantae; Streptophyta; Magnoliopsida; Brassicales; Brassicaceae. The record is from RNAcentral.
AAUUAUCCAAUAAUUAAUUAUGGUCAAAUCCAAGUUCUAGAGUUUUCUCUAGAAAUAUCAUCAUUUCCACCUCCUUAAAAGAUUCUAGAAAUUUUCUAGAAUCAUCUUCCACCUCCUUAAACAGAAAAAUCUAGAUACUCUAAUAGAAUAAUCUAGAUAAUUUGAAUAAUGUAAUCUAGAUCUUAUGUAAGAACUCUCUAGACUUAGGAUUAAAAUAUUUUAGAUAUUUUGUAGUUUAGAGGCUAUAAAUACCUCCUCCCCCUCUCAAAUGUUGUCAGGUUGUGAAGUUGUCUUCAAGUUUAAAGCAAAGUAAUAAAAGUUCUAUUUCCUAAAAAAACUCUCUCAAAACAUUUUAACACUUUCUCCAUUACCUCUAAAAGAAUUUUACUCUAACACACCCAUCUCCGAAAAUAUAACCUGAACAAACACAGAAUGUUACUCCUCUCUGGACUUGGAAAGACAAUUAGC